Gasterosteus aculeatus aculeatus (three-spined stickleback) is the source of this 1102-nucleotide long non-coding RNA. Lineage: Eukaryota; Metazoa; Chordata; Actinopteri; Perciformes; Gasterosteidae. The record is from Ensembl.
CCUAAACCCACAGUGUCACGAGCCCGCUGAUUCACGACGGAUUAAACGGAUUCGCGCAAAGAAAUUCUCCAUAACAGGGCGCGCGCGCGACCCCCAUUUAUACGCAUAAUUGGAGCUAUUCAAUUGUUCAGUAGCUCUGAACUGUGUCUUUCCGUGUCCUCUCUGUCCGAAAGCUCAAAUGCGCUGCAGACACAGCACGAGCCUGAUCAGAACGUUUGGGUAAAACUCUAAAAGCGUCAAAGGACCCAGUAGCAGAAAGAUAAGGACAGUUCUCACUAGGAAUCCUUCAUGUAUCCUCACGUGGAUGUAUGUUUAGAUUGCAUCCGUUUGUCCCACAGAAUGAGUGCAGCCAGCUGGCUCAUGAGUCGGUGUGGGACCUACCUGCAGUCCAGUCCUGGGUGUCAGAGCAGAGCUGCUGAGGACUGUGAUUGGCCUGGAAGACUGUUGGACCAUGCAGGGACACAGAGUCCACAUUUUAACCACAGACACAGACGCAGGGACACUUUCUGCCCCAGAUGAAGGAAGGAGCCGAACAUGCAGGACUCCUCCGGACUGCAGUCUCUUUGGUCAUUGACGGUAAAAAGCUUGUUGCUCCACUUUUUGCUGUCGAAGGAUGGCCCCCACUCCCCACAAGACGCGCAGCUGCUUCGAAUCAGUCACCUGACUCCCGUUCCCUAUCAGGGGGGUAUUUAGGAGCAACCCGGAGAUCCAGUCCCUGCCGGAUCGUUAGAUGCCAAUAGGUUAUACCUUGUACGACCAUUGUUCACCCUGCCGGACUUCGCCUCACCUAACUUCGAAUCACCUGACACGCCAUUAUCUCUCGUUGGGUCAAGGACUCUGUGAAGGGACCCACUCCAGGAACCAGAAAGUUGCAGACUACUGGUGGUUUUCUGCUUUGUUGUUUUUGUUGUUUGACUCACGGAAUUAAACCUUUUGUUUCAACCCUCCGGUCUGCGUCUGGGUCCUGUCCGAGCAAACUGACACUAGAAGUAAUAAUCGCAUGAUUUCUUUUUCUGCAUAAUAGAUGUUUGAUUUGUGUCUGAGUUUAGCAUCAGAAAGUGCUAAAGUUUGGGAACGAUCUAAUAAAUACAACUUCAACCAG